CAUUGAAACACCUGUUCUCAUGCGACCACUGAAGUUAAGCAACAUCAAGCCUGGUCAGUACCUAGGUGGGUGACCGCUUGGGAAUGCCAGGUGCUGUAAG
Non-coding RNA from Acanthosepion pharaonis, 100 nucleotides. The record is from the annotation of a GenBank genome assembly. NCBI's taxonomy places the organism in Eukaryota, Metazoa, Mollusca, Cephalopoda, Sepiida, Sepiidae.